AGAGCAGCACUGGGUAUAAAGCGCGUGUAGGCGGCGUGACAAGUCGGGUGUGAAAGCCCUCAGCUCAACUGAGGAAGUGCGCCCGAAACUGUCGUGCUUGAGUGCCGGAGAGGGUGGCGGAAUUCCCCAAGUAGAGGUGAAAUUCGUAGAUAUGGGGAGGAACACCGGUGGCGAAGGCGGCCACCUGGACGGUAACUGACGCUGAGACGCGAAAGCGUGGGGAGCAAACAGGAUUAGAUACCCUGGUAGUCCACGCCGUAAACGAUGAGAACUAGGUGUCGUGGGAGUUGACCCCCGCGGUGCCGAAGCUAACGCAUUAAGUUCUCCGCCUGGGAAGUACGGUCGCAAGACUAAAACUUAAAAAAUUAGACGG
RNAcentral lists this ribosomal RNA (373 nucleotides) under uncultured Myxococcus sp. Its description in RNAcentral is "bacterial SSU rRNA". It matches the Rfam family "Bacterial small subunit ribosomal RNA", at positions 545 to 916 of the family's 1533-position model. The record is from RNAcentral. Lineage: Bacteria; Pseudomonadati; Myxococcota; Myxococcia; Myxococcales; Myxococcaceae.